This is a non-coding RNA of Mycena rebaudengoi, 96 nucleotides long. NCBI's taxonomy places the organism in Eukaryota, Fungi, Basidiomycota, Agaricomycetes, Agaricales, Mycenaceae. The record is from the annotation of a GenBank genome assembly.
GGCCCAGUGGCGGAAGGUCCGCGUCUGUGAUACUUGGGCUUGCAUCAUUGCAAUGAUCUUAAGCAGAAUAUGCUCGUUCGAAUCGAGCCUGGGCCA